GGAGAGAGACAGUUGAGCCUGGGGGCUCUGGCUUUUCUCUCUCUGGGUGGACCUGAGGAGAUUAGCUUUUUCCCUGUGGCAUUUGACUACCUGAUCUUCAUAUCCUACCUGCUAUUUGGAUUAUCCUGUUAACAUGUUAACUAUUUUGAUAUCUGCUGAGUUCCUGUGCUGCUCUUGAGACAACUAACAGCUGAUUAUGGCUGCCAGAAUAAUAGUUCUUACAUGUAGCUUCUGUCAUAUCACUCCUCUCAACAAUCUAGAGUUCCAAGUUCAAGCUCAAGCACCUGGCCAAGUCCUUCAUAAUCUGAUGCCAAGUCUAUCGUUCUAGCUAUCUUCUACAAAGUCUAAAUGUCAAAAAACCUAACUACUCUAUGACCAAUAAAUACUGUGAUUCUCCCCAUUUA
Long non-coding RNA from Monodelphis domestica (gray short-tailed opossum), 404 nucleotides. RefSeq lists it as uncharacterized. The record is from RefSeq and is a predicted model, not a curated record. NCBI's taxonomy places the organism in Eukaryota, Metazoa, Chordata, Mammalia, Didelphimorphia, Didelphidae.